GUGAUGAGUGGAGGAAGUGCAAAAGAACUAUUGAAGCUUCUUCUCCAAGGAAAGAUCCUAAAUUAAUGCUUUUGCCCGCACACAAGUCCCUUUCUGAAGAAGUUGCUUCUGGGGAAUCAUCUUUUGCUGCUGGUGAAAGAUUGUUCGAGAUUGUCAAGGUGUUUGUACUACUUCAUCAGCUUCAUAUUUUUUCAGAAGGAAAAUUGUUGCCCGAUCAACCUCCUAUACAUCCUAC
This 235-nucleotide unclassified non-coding RNA is filed under the name Hevea brasiliensis (rubber tree). Lineage: Eukaryota; Viridiplantae; Streptophyta; Magnoliopsida; Malpighiales; Euphorbiaceae. The record is from RNAcentral.